UGGGGAAUAUUGCACAAUGGGCGCAAGCCUGAUGCAGCCAUGCCGCGUGUAUGAAGAAGGCCUUCGGGUUGUAAAGUACUUUUAGCGGGGAGGAAGGGAGUAAAGUUAAUACCUUUGCUCAUUGACGUUACCCGCAGAAGAAGCACCGGCUAACUCCGUGCCAGCAGCCGCGGUAAUACGGAGGGUGCAAGCGUUAAUCGGAAUUACUGGGCGUAAAGCGCACGCAGGCGGUUUGUUAAGUCAGAUGUGAAAUCCCCGGGCUCAACCUGGGAACUGCAUCUGAUACUGGAAGCUUGAGUCUCGUAGAGGGGGGUAGAAUUCCAGGUGUAGCGGUGAAAUGCGUAGAGAUCUGGAGGAAUACCGGUGGCGAAGGCGGCCCCCUGGACGAAGACUGACGCUCAGGUGCGAAAGCGUGGGGAGCAAACAGG
RNAcentral lists this ribosomal RNA (428 nucleotides) under Chloroflexota bacterium. RNAcentral's name for it is "Chloroflexi bacterium partial 16S ribosomal RNA". It matches the Rfam family "Bacterial small subunit ribosomal RNA", at positions 355 to 776 of the family's 1533-position model. The record is from RNAcentral. Lineage: Bacteria; Bacillati; Chloroflexota.